GGAUUGUGGCUCAGAGGUAGAGUGCUCACCUGGAAUGCGUGAGGCACUGGGUUCGAUCCUCAGCACCA
This 68-nucleotide transfer RNA is filed under the name Marmota monax (woodchuck). RNAcentral describes it as "tRNA.Ser". Lineage: Eukaryota; Metazoa; Chordata; Mammalia; Rodentia; Sciuridae. The record is from RNAcentral.